This is a long non-coding RNA of Morone saxatilis (striped sea-bass), 860 nucleotides long. RefSeq lists it as uncharacterized. The record is from RefSeq and is a predicted model, not a curated record. The transcript is spliced from 2 exons. NCBI's taxonomy places the organism in Eukaryota, Metazoa, Chordata, Actinopteri, Moronidae.
UCUUCCGGAGAGCUCGCGGUAGCCGCACGCAGAGAUGGGAGCAGGAGCGACUCCCGUGACGGAGACCGGAGAUAACGAGAAAAUGUUUAAAUCUAAAGGAGAUUCGGUGUCUUUGCCGAAACACUCCUACUGGUUUGACUUUUGGGCGUUCGUGGUCUUUGACAUCGUUUUCUUCCUCGUCAUGUAUUUCAUAGUCCCGUAAACAGGAUCGGCCCCUGGACUCUGGAGACUGAAGACAUGGAGUGCUGGUGGUCCUGUCCUGCUGUCAGGAGUGCUGACUCAGCUUUGACUGAAUUUGUCGCCACAUUAUUGGAUAGCACAUCCCAAGUUUCCACUGCUUGGACCCUGAAACUGCACCUUUAUACAUGUGACAUCCUGCUUUGAUAUCAGAUAUGAACCACAGAACUUCCUCCUGCAACCAGUUGCUGUGGACUGUCUUUGGAUGAAUUCACACUGUGUUUCUAUUUAAAAGUGGCAGUUGUGUCAUCAGGACUUGUAAAAUGUACUUUAAAGCCAUGAAGAAACAAGUGUUAUCACUGUCGAUGUUACUCAGUAGAGCAGACCGGCUCAAUGUUUUUCAUUAUUUAAUCACUUUUAACAAAGAUAAAUUGUUAUCCUCAAAACAAGCUGAAAAAACUAAACCCUGGGGAGAAGAGUCUCACAUCUGGAAAAGAUUUUGUCCUAAGCCAUCUGAUGAUCCAGUGUGUGGACGGGGGGAUUUGAUGACAGCAGAGAAACAAGAUUUGACUUGCACACCAUGAAGAACAAUGAGAUGAGGAGUAUCAUUCCAGCACACUAAACUCCUGAAAGUUUGCACAUGGAAAAUACUGCAAAUAAAGAGUGUUUCCUUAACUGCCAAA